UAACCGGAGUUACUUGGUUUAGUUUGUGUGCAGUUGUAAUCGCAAAAGUUACAGUAGUAGCAUUAGCAUAUGUUUUAAGUACAUAGUAUGCAUCUUGCACCUUUUUCUUAAUCAAAUAUUUCUGUAUACAUUUCUAGGCCCUGCUGCUGGUCAUUAUAGCGAGGACAUUCCCAUUGAUGAUGAGGAUGAUGACGUUGAUGAGUGACUCCCAACAGUUGAUGGGGUGGAAACUGAGAGUUAAUGUUGAUAUGUUGUGAUUAACAUGCUGAAUUGCUGAUGAUCUUCUAAUAGUAUUUGAUGUUAGAUAGAUGCUUACACAAUAUUGACCGAGGAUAUAUGCACACACUGGAAUGUGGAUUUUCCACCCUACAAUAUUAACCAACCAUUUGAAAAGGAAAAAAAAAAACUCUUAGAUGAAAUAAGAUGUUUGUCUACAUAUAAACUCCUUUUUUUUUUAAACAGUCUGCAUAUAAACUCUUAAACUCCAAAUAUGGGUUUAGAAGUACAAGCCUAAAUUGAACGGGCAUUUAGAUGACAUAAUUUGUAGGAACGACCAAAAACAUUGUUUUUUGCAUCGUGUAUAUUCAUAUUGAAAGUAUAAAAAUUGCGUUUUUU
RNAcentral lists this long non-coding RNA (615 nucleotides) under Trifolium pratense (red clover). Its description in RNAcentral is "long non-coding RNA (TPRA_LNC009636)". Lineage: Eukaryota; Viridiplantae; Streptophyta; Magnoliopsida; Fabales; Fabaceae. The record is from RNAcentral.